Molecule: long non-coding RNA, 8099 nt
Organism: Pseudopipra pipra
Lineage: Eukaryota; Metazoa; Chordata; Aves; Passeriformes; Pipridae
Exons: 2
Source: RefSeq, a predicted model, not a curated record
AAACCUUUGAACUUUCUUGUUUCCCCGCCUGCCUCUCGCCCUCUCGGCUUUCGGAGGGCUUGCUCCGGAGUGUCAGCUCCGCCGGGGACCGCCGAGGGGGCAUUUGAAGGUGAAGCGCCCUGCGAGUGCCUGGGAGGACAAAGCGGAGGAUGUCGGGGCGAUCUGGGUGCGGACGCAGCCCGGGUGGCGGGAUGGAAAGCUCAAAUGCGGGGCAGGGCCCCCCGCCCGAACCCCUCGGAAAGCCCCCCAGCCCAAUGCCAGCGAGGGCUGCAACCUCCGCAGGAUGAGCCGGGAGGGCUCGAGGCUGAGACCGGCCGGCCGCAGGUCCUGAAAGGAGUUGGAGAGGCAAGGAAGAAGACAGGGAAGGAGCAGACCCUUCUCCUCCCUCCCGCUUCGACUCGGAUAUACUGUGGCCGGAGAAGAAUCGCCGGCUGCACGUCUCUGUGCUUUCGCUACCCAGGUUGGGGGGAGGGAGGGGAGGUGAAGUGGGGCGGGAGGGGGAAAGAGGAAAGUCGCCUCCCUGCGAUUGCCGGUUGAAGGACGCGAGUGCAGCGAUCCAUUGUCCAGCCCGGAUUCGGGACAGCAUCUGAAGGUGAGGAGGAAGGAGCUGAGAGGGCUACUUGACAGAGUAGAGCAAUGCCCUCUCACGGCACCGGCACCCACCUUUAGGGAUGCCUACCGCCGGCUUGGAGCAGGGUGGGGAGGGGACGAGUUCUGCUGCUGAUCCACCCUGCUGUCGCCAGCAGGAGAGGUGGGACAACAACCCCCAAAGUAACCUAUAUGGGUCUGAAAGGAGGGAGGGGGCUAGAGCGGAAUGGUGCUGGCAGUAAGUAGUGUGAGCCCGGGGAUGGGGGAGCAGCGGCGCCUGCAUUCUGGGGAGGCGCUGGCACGGCCCGUGGGCGACCUCCUCUGAAGGUCAGGGAGGACGCCGGAGCUGCACCUGGCACCGCUGGGAAAGGCGUGUAGAUCCAGCAGGCACGACAGAAAUCUUUCCCGGGGCAGCGAUGCCGGCCACUGUGGCUCCGCAAUCUGCAAAGCUCUUGAGUGCCAGCUGCAGAUGCGGGAUGCAGUCCAUGCUUUUAAUCUCAGGACAGUGCCUACCCACCCGGGUCUGCCUCGGUGCUCCAUGCCUUUCAGUGUUUGAGGCACUUGGACAAUGCCCCUUACGAAAUGCUUUAAUUUUCAAUCAUCCUCAAGUGGUCAGGCAGUUGGACUAGAUUAUCAUUUUAGGUCCCUUCCACUGAACUGUUCUGCUAUUCAAUUCUACGAGCUCCCAGAAAACCACUUUUGCAACAGACACUGUUGUCAGUCUAGGAAACUCAGCUGGGUAGGCAUGUGCUACACUUUUACUAAAAAAUUUCAGAAAGAAAAAAUUAAUACUAAUAGGGAGUGGAGAACACUCUUCUUUUAAGCCUUAACUCCCCCUGAGAGUUUGCAAUUCAAAGGACAUAAUGCCAUAUUUUUGAUGCUCUCUUUUCCAUACAUACCAUAGGAGUGUCUCAGCAAAAAUUACUGUGCUCAAGAAAUUAAUCUAGGAGACUGCUGGAGCUGUGUGCCUGGGUUCCUGUGCAAUUAACACAGUAUUUGCAAAUCUAUGUUGCCUCACCAAGUGCCCAUAUAACUUUAAGGAGGUCUUAUAGUUUGGUUCUGUCACAAAACACCUCACAUUCCUCCUUCAUCAUAUGAUUGCUGUUGAAGAGAAGGGCAGUGUCCCCACCCCACACUAUUAAACCUCCACAUGCACACAUUGCUCUUAUAUCCUGGAGUUCAGGAAAGAACAAUUCAAAUGCCCUCAAAUACAAGGAUUAGAGAAGUGUGGACUAACAGCUAGAACACCCAGUUGCCUAAAAUCACCUUUCUUCUUCAUGCUUUGUAUCAUGCUGCAUCAAGUAACUCCUGUAGCAGCCAAGAGUCAGCACAGACAAAUGAGGUUGCUGAGAAAUCUCAUACUUUCUGUUCACAGGCUCCUUACAAGCUUUGCAACAGCAAAUGUCCUUCUUUGUGUGCAGUGAAUAGUGAUGUCAUCCACAGGGGCUUUCAGAACCCAGGAAAAGAAUGAGCACAUUAAGUCCCUGCAAGGUCCGUGAGCUUCUUUUUGACCUUUUUAGAGCUACUGGUCUCUCUCCACAGCCAGCUGACCCUCCAAAGUUCGAGUACCCAUUGUUCUGUCCCCAGACUGCUCCCACUUUUUCCGGAUUAUACAGCUGCCACAGAAAAUCAUGACAUAUGAGACAGUGAAACCUAACUCUUAACCUCAAGUAGUUCACAGCUCCCUCCUCUUCAGGAGAACAAGCCACAGGAUCAUCAAACCACAAACUCCAUUGAGAUACUUCUAGUCUCAACUUCAGCAUCUUUUCCCUACCCUAAGCAUCAGCUUCCAAAUAAAUGCCACAGGAGGUACCUUCCAGAUGAAAACCUAAUCACUUGUGAGCCUGAUCUGGGUGCCUCCAACUGAAGUGAUACCCUGACUUUUCAGUCAGGAGAGUUCCCACUAGUACACUCCUCACCAUAUGAGGUUCAGGCACAGAGGCAAAAAAGAGCACCACAAAAAAGAGGUGAUGUCCAUAGAUCUGUGUCUCAGAAAAGCUUCUGGAGAAGGCAGAUACAACCUUUCCUCAGCUUGCUCAGAAAUGCAGCUGGACAGAUGAACUCGUGAGUAUCUGUUAUGUUAUUUAUCUGGAAUACAUAAUCUCUGCUACAAUAGAAAUAACAGCUUGUCCAGCCAUGGUAAUGAUAUAAGCAAUGCCAUAUGUAUCUUCUUUCUGGUGCUGUAUAACAAUACACUGGGCUCAUAAUAGUUUAUGACUAUAAACCUGGCAUUAAUGCAAUCUAAUAACAUUUACUAGAAGGCAACAAAUCUCAGAAAUAGCAAUGUUUUCUCCCCUGGGUGAGGGUUAGAGUUUUGUAUCUGUACAUAGCACCUGUCCCAGCACCAUGGACAGAGGAGAACUGCUGCACACACACAUGCACGCUCUGACAUCUUCCAAACUGCCCAAAAUACCAAAGCCACUUCUUAUUCUGGUUUGUACUGUCAGAUAUGCCUGAUCCUGCUUGUGGGAAGUCUUGUUCUUCCUUUACAGAACCAGAAGAGUAGGAAUCCACUCUGUGACCUUGCUUGGUGCAGAUGAAGAGUACAGAAAACUCGGUGCAAAUGUCUCCUCCAUGGAACUUUGUCCAUGGAACUCAGCCUCCUUCUUUGGCCACCAGCUGAGAAUCUGUGCUUACAAAUGUCUUUGUAAGAAGGUGGAAUAAGCCAGUUAUUGGUCUUGGUGACACUUUCUAUAGAGAAAUGGAUAUCAGGGUCUUCAAAAAGAGGGAAAGUUCUGUUUCUGGAAGAGAAAAAAAUUUAAAUGAGUCAUGAAGUUUCAUUUCAACAUCUUUAAAUGCAAUGUUUGAUUAUUCAAUUCCAUAUGGUGUUUGGCUGCUAAACUGAAAUCAAUGCCGUCGUAAGAACGAUACUAAUAAGAAAGCUCACAGACCAAGUAUGAAGGUUAUGGAAAAUACUUAAGCUGCUGCCCAAAAUAAACAUACUCUGUGUCUUUUUUCCCCCCUGUCUUAUUAUCAGCUCUCACUGUUGUAACUGCAGCACUGUUCAGUGCACUGCAGGCGAGACCUGUACAGCAGCAAGAUGAUUAGCUUUUUAUCGAUACAGCUACUGAGACAGAGGAGCCAGGUACUUGCUAAGGGUAGUUUGUGUACGGCAGUUGCAAUUCAUUCAGUGGUUUAGUUCACUGAACACAAAUCUACUGUGUGCUUCUUCUUGCUGUCAAUUCUUCAGCUGUCAAUUCUGUCUGUCAAAACAUUUCAGAAUUCAUAUUUUUUUUGUCUCUUCGAAAGUACUGCUUUGUUUCUUGCUGUUCCUUUCAAGCUAUAGGUGGCUUUAGAUAAGCUCUUUAUUUCCCAACAAAAUAGAAAAAAAUCAAAUAUAAUAUUCUUUUUAAGAAGUGGGUGUUUCCCUUCAGCCAAAACUGUGAAAGGACUUUUCAACUGGUUUUGCUAGCUCUGAAGAAAAAGUCCCUCGAGAUUUCUUGAAGAUGACCUUUCUAGGUGAGCAUUUGGUGCCACAAGACCAAGUUGUAGCUGCCUGUCCUUACAAAAGCUGAACCAAACACAUAUUGGUUGCUCUGUCUCCGUGACAUGCAAACAAAAGAAUGCAAAUUACAUCUUACUUUUUUUUUUAUGAACACGGGUGCACCAGCCUAGUUUAUGAAAAAGCCUCUUGGUAAGUUGCCAUUUACACCUUCUAGCUCCUGGUGGUUUCUUGUUUGUACUCUCCCUUUGCUACUCCCUUGUUCCUCUAGCUCCGUUCCCUUCUCUGUUUGCUGUUCUCUGAACAAGCUCUUGCCUUACCAGGCAGGUUAAGAGUCCUAUCUCAGUGGGGCUCUGAUUCCUGUGGAAUAUCCUAUAGCUCUUAUCUUCAGGACUUACUGCUCUACAUUAUAAGGCUUCUUUGGUAGACAGAAGUUGUCAUAAAGAUGAGAAUUCAUCUUUAUCACUGCAAUGAUUAAAUGAUGAUGUCUCUAUUCAAAACAUAUUAAGUUAAUGUCAUGAGAUUAUUAUUUCAAGUAUUUUGGCAGGAAUUUUUCCAUCAGAGAAUAAGAAUCAUCCAAACCAGAGCAUUCUAUGGAGAUGUGUCAGUUUAUACAGAAGUUUAAAGGCAAAUAAGCUGCAAUUUUUUUACUAUCUUGUAUUCGAUGCUGUUGAGACAUUCUGCUUCGAUAUAGCAAAAGUGCUGCACUUUGUCAGUGAUCGAAUCAUUUUGCCUUGACUCUCUGCUUCUAGGAAUACAUGUCUGUAUGAAAAGUAAACACAUAACUAUAGUAGAGUACCUCUUUUUUUCAGAAUUUUUAAUGUCAUGGAGGUGGGGGAAAGAGAUCAGUCUUUUCCCCUUUGUUGCAAUUUAGAGUGCAAGCAAGAUUCAAAAUAGCAAACAUACUUCAGAAGAGAAUUUCUGUUUUCCCAGGUAGUUCUGUGCCUCACCUUCAUUUAUUACUCUGCUUCUUGGAAAAGAAAACGAACAGAGGGAAACUGCAGACUCGGCUGAGAUUCUAGCUUGGUGUCAGAUGCUGUGGCUGUGUAAAAAGAGUAGUCCCAAUUUCUGAACUCGACUUAGAAAGGAGCUACUCACCUCAGUAGGUAAAUUUCCCAGCCGUAACGACAAACUUAAUUGUUUAAUAUUUUAAUCUUUUCAUUAAGCAUAAGGUGAAUGUGUGCAUAUCUUUACAUGCUUCAGACACCUGUAGAGCAAUUACUCUUAGGUGUGAUGUGUGAUGCUGGCAAGUUAAGAUGUGACAAUAUUAUGCUCUUUACACUUGGAUGUCUCUGAAGAGACUAUAAUAGUAAGAUGCAAAAUAACAGCUCAGGAAUCCUCAUACCAUCCUAUUUCAGUCUUGAACAUGCUCUCCACUGCCUCACUUUGGUAAGAAACUUAAGCAUGUGAUGAAAUAAUUUUCUAGGUAGAGUGUAUUUCCUGAAUCAUAUGAGGGAAAUAGCAAUACCUGAAAAUAACAAACCUAUGUAAUCCACAAAAAAAUAGACAUUUAUGUCACCUUAGAAUGAGGUUGCGGGGUUUUUUUUACCUCAAUGGAACUGUAGAAAGUAAUUUGUAAUGUCACAUAAAUAAAUAAAAUUAUCCAAGCAAGUCAUUCCCUGCCUUUACUGGCAUGUUAUUUCUGCCCCUGGUCAUUAAGUGUCAGUCAACCAACAGCUCCACAGAGUUGUGGGAACAAAGUUAUAUGCAGGUAGAAAUGUUGGAGAUUCUAUCCCCUUGGGUUGCACAACCAAACACAAGGUUUAUCACGCAAUGAGGAAACCCACCUACUAGGGCAUAUAUGGCCUUACACACCAGACUAUUCCAUCAUCAGCUUCUCUCCAUGGGGUUCCAAGGACAUCCACUACCAUCCCUCCUCCUGUUUCAUCUUUAUAUUGCCAGUUGAUCACAUAAGUCACAGUCCCUAUAAUGUUUUUUUCUUCCUUCUGGUAUUUUUUUAAGACUUCCUCUCCUCAACAAGUGGUACAGUUUCUGACAAUACUAUACCUUUGCAUUUCAUCUCUUUUACUGCAAAUAUACAUUUGUGUGCAAAUCGGUGCAAAUAGAGCUAAAAAGUUGCAUCUAUUAUUGAUUCUUCUCUUACUGACAUGUUCUUUACACCACAUCUAUUAAACCUAUAAUAUUAUCCCACUGUCUUUUUGGGCUGUGGCAACUGGUCAGACAUUUAUUCUGACCCUGUAAGUUUUAUGGCUAGAACUGAUUAAAAAAAAAGGAGCUAAACUUUUUUGUCUUUCAAUUUCCACAUCUUCCCCAUGCCCAGUUCAUGCAAGUGAAUCCCUUAACAAAAUGGAGAAAAGUUAACCAUGCUAUACAAUAUUAGUGGAACACAUCAGCUGUGACCCUAUUAAACAGUCACGAAAUGGGUAGCUGAAAUGACAGUUUAGUAGCCAUAAUAAAGUUCUUACCUCUAACUAUGCUGAGUAUUAGACAAAAAUGACCAAAACACAAAUUCCAAUGUAAACUAAAGCACUAGGGAGUUAAACUUAAUAGACUGAAAUAACUGGACUUAAACAGACACUUCCAUUAGUGCAUGUGUAUAGGUGUUUUGCUGAAUCCAAAUUAGCUCCUCUAGGCCUGAAUGUCUCAAAUGAUGAGUAUCUGUGAAUACAAAUUAGGGGAUUCAUAAACACGAUCUGUAAAUUUAACUCUUACAUGGGGCCUUUCUGUAUGAUCAGUCCUUCCUAAAAAUUAGUAACAAAAUAAAUGAGAAAAUUCACUGUGUUUAGUGAAUCUUGGGGGGAUGCAGACAUAAAGAGGAAAAUGUCCUGUGCUGAGAGUCAAAGCAUUUCAGAAUUCAACUGAAUGCUUAAUCAUUAAUGUUCUUGAAUCUUUUUGAAAAACAAGCAUUGUUCCAUACGCUUCUCUGCCUUUUAAUUCCACAGUGCUUCCCGCUAAUUAAUUACGUGCCAUUUCCCAUCUAAUCCUGUUUUGUAAAAUUUAAUCUUCAAAUGACAGCAUUUAUCAAGCACAUAAUGCCAGCUGAUGCACAUCAAGCAAAGCAGAUCUUUAUGCUUGCAGACAGAAAUGAACGCCUCAGUCCAAGCUCCCUCUUUCUGUGCCAGUUAUAGUUUAGCAGAGUGAGGUCAUUUACCCACUCCCUGAAUCUGUCCAAGCAUGAGGGGCAGGGCUGGGGGAGCAGAGCUGGAGAAGCCUUGUUGAUGUUGAUGCUCGGCCCAUGGAGGACUGAAAAAUGUGUGUUCAAAGCCAACUUAAGCAAUCACACAGAAAACUUUGUUUUCCUGUUCCAUCUGUGCUGUUUCUCAGGUUUCAAAGCCACCUGGGAAUGGUGGCAAAUUCCCUGCUGGGGCUUCCUGUACAAGUCGUUGUUUCUUUCACUCCCACUCAGUCCCUACCACAAUUAUGCUUUGGACUAAAUCCCUCACUUCAGAGAGUUCCCUGCUCCAGUGCCACAGUGGAAUAGUGAAAAAUAUUUAAAUAAUGGGUUUGGACUCAGUGGUUAAGCACACACUUCAGCAACCUGCCUGAAAAACAGAUUCAGACCCCGAAGGAGUACGCGAGAAUCAAAAGUUAUUUAAUGUGGAAAUGGGACAUAUACAACCCACCUGUGCAUUCAUUUGGUAUUGUCUAUUCACUUAAUGGCUUUUUAAUCCAUCCGCAAGUUUCAUCCUCUUGUAACACAGAAGUAAAACUCUCAAAUUAGGAGUUUCAAUUAAUUUCAUGGAAAUUGUUGGCUUGUUAGAGGAGAGUAAAAUUUUAUUGAGUCUGCAUGAGGGAAUAAGUGUAGUGAAAAUCCCUACUAUGAAAUAAAGAAUCUACUCAGAAGAGAUUUCAAGAAAUUGACACUAUAUUGAAUUGGUGAUGUGUUGGUGUUUUUUUCCACUUCAAUUUGAAAUAGUGGGAGACUCAACUGAAUUAAUCUUUUCCAUACUCCACUUUUCACUUGGAGCUACUUCUGUCGCAAAAUUACUUUAUAAGCUAACUUUAAAUGAAUGUACGCUUGCAGAUAUGAGAUUUGCCUUCUGCUCCAUGCCACAUGAGGCUGCACUGUCACUAGAAAAUUAAAUAAAAACUAGAAAUUGAACUUUGA